AACGAACGCUGGCGGCAUGCCUAACACAUGCAAGUCGAACGAGACCUUCGGGUCUAGUGGCGCACGGGUGCGUAACGCGUGGGAACCUGCCCUUAGGUUCGGAAUAACUCCCCGAAAGGGGUGCUAAUACCGGAUAAUGUCUUCGGACCAAAGAUUUAUCGCCUUUGGAUGGGCCCGCGUUGGAUUAGCUAGUUGGUAGGGUAAAAGCCUACCAAGGCGACGAUCCAUAGCUGGUCUGAGAGGAUGAUCAGCCACACUGGGACUGAGACACGGCCCAGACUCCUACGGGAGGCAGCAGUGGGGAAUAUUGGACAAUGGGCGAAAGCCUGAUCCAGCAAUGACGCGUGAGUGAUGAAGGCCUGAGGGUUGUAAAGCUCUUUUACCCGGGAUGAUAAUGACAGUACCGGGAGAAUAAGCGCCGGCUAACUCCGUG
Molecule: ribosomal RNA, 433 nt
Filed under: uncultured bacterium
Lineage: Bacteria
Description: partial 16S ribosomal RNA
Rfam family: Bacterial small subunit ribosomal RNA
Source: RNAcentral